This is a long non-coding RNA of Cucumis melo (muskmelon), 1881 nucleotides long. RefSeq lists it as uncharacterized. The record is from RefSeq and is a predicted model, not a curated record. The transcript is spliced from 7 exons. Lineage: Eukaryota; Viridiplantae; Streptophyta; Magnoliopsida; Cucurbitales; Cucurbitaceae.
AAAAAGGUUAUUUUUUUUUUGCUACAAAUGCAGAAAAGAAGGACAUUAUGUCAAUAAGCGUCCACAAAGAGGUAUGCAUGAGAUAAAUGAAGAAGAAUAUUCUUCAAAUUCAUCAUAUAUUUCUGACUUUAAUAUAUUGAAAAUUGCAGAUGAAACCGAUUCAGAAGUUUCAAGCCAAUCUUCCUCAAAUGAGGGGCCAAGAGUAUGGGAUUGUAUCAAAGACCCAUGCAAAUGUGUUUUAAAUGAAAUAAAUAUUUUAACUUCCGAAUAGGAUUUAUUAUUUCAAACUAUCACUAAAAGAAAAUGGAGCAUUCCCGACGCCGAAAAGGACGUCGACAUAAAGAAUGUCGGGAAUAAGGGCUUUACCGACGCCAUCAACACCGCAUCGGAAGAAGCAUCGGGAAAACACUCUUUCCCGACGCAUAACGAAGCGUCGAGCCGAAAUCGAGUGGGGAAAAGAGAGGAGAAGCCGAGAGCCGUAGUCGUUUUCGUCGCCCUUCCGCCGCUGUUCCGUCGCUGUCCAGCCGUUGUCCCUCGCUGCCGUCUGCCAAUUUAGCCAUUAUGUCAUAUCGACGAUCAAAUUUUAUAGAGACGGACGAUAUGUUCCUUCAGUUUGAGGACAAUUUAGAUAACAUCGUGGGAGGGUCGUCAUUUGUGGGCGACAAUACGGGGUCUUCUUCUUAACAAGCGACUCUGACUCCUAGGAGACAUGCGCAAUCUCGACUCUUAAAGUUAGAGCACCACGUUGCAAUAAAUAGGCGCAUUCCGAUGACGAUCGCGCCUGGAGCGGAAAAGCCUAUUUCUCCACACGCCGUUUGCUUCUAUAAGGCGAUAGGCGUGUGCGUGCGAAAGACAUUUCCCGUCCGCUGUCUUAAGUGAGCAGACUUUGGGAGAGAAUGUAUUGAGGUCGUCAAGGGCGAUCUCCAGGUUUGUUGAGCAUCAGAUGGUCACGACCUUUAAAGAGUUUCGGGCCGACUGUCAUAGACAUUUCAAAAAGUACAGCAACCCGGAGGAGGCUCGUGCCAACCCACCAAACGCAUUGGUUGGACCUGAUGAGAAUUGGUGCUUCCUCUGCGACCAUUAUAUCAGCCGUGCAUUCCAGGUAUUUGUCAUGAUUAAUUAUGAUAACAAGUUUUAAUAUGUAUAAGAAAUAAACAAUAUAAAUAAACAAUAUAAUUGUUUUAAUGCACGAGCAAUCACGGACGAACAAGGCUGCUAGACAGAAGCAGCCUUACAAUCAUAGAAGUGGGUCCAAGUCGUUUCUACAACGACAGUAUGAGCUUGCUGAGAGAAAAGGAGAGUCGGUCGAUCGUGUGCAAUUGUUUCGGGAAACACACGUUCGAGUUGGGACAUUCGUGUCGCAGGCCGUCGAGGAUGCACAUAAUUAAAUGCUGGAACUCUAAUCCUAACCUACCCUAGAGGGUAGUUAGCCACUCUCUGAGGAUGAGAUAUACGAUCAAGUGUUGGGUAGACGACUAGGCUACUUAAAAGGCCUUGGUUGGGGACCGAAGCCGAAGGCCCACAGAACGGCGAGUGCAAGCAGUUCAUCGACAUCUUGUUCGCAGUCCACAGAAAAAGAGAUUGAAUUACAAGCUAAACUUCAAUAAGCUUUGGAACGGAUUGAAGUACAAGAUAGAAAUCACCAAGCAUUAGCUUCACAAGUGGAAAGUAUGAAAAAGAUGAUAGAAGAAUUUACUCGUGCACAACAGGGACCACCACAUGAUCUCUAGCUCUGCGGACCGAAGGUGUAGAAUGACGCGCAUACGCACCUCGUUAUGAGACUUUUUCUUAUGUUUAUGUUUUUUCUAUUUUGAGAACUAUAUCUAUUGUAGUGAACUUAUUCGUAUUAUUAAUUUUAAUUAUAUUUUUUUAAUUUGUGUU